UGCGUCCUCCAUGGUAGCAAACUUUUCUGCGCCAGGCUAGCAGCAAGUACUCCGGGAUCAUUGCCUCGCAAAGCAUGGCGGCAUACGGCCCUGGUGCUUGCUGGCAUUCACACAGCAUGCGGUCUUUCUCUGUCUCCGAAAUCCUCAUCAGAGUGAUAUCACUCAUGGUGACCUGCUUUGAAUUAGGGGAAUGUUAGUAUUGGGACUGAUUGCCUGUUCCUUUACAUAACUGUAACCGGCCGUUUACAGCCACGGGGUGGAGGCGUGACAGGGGCAGCAUGGAGGGAUCUUUCCCGGGGACAGCCGCAAGGGGGGGUGGGACAGGGGCAGAGUUCAUGCUGGCCGGAUUGCCGGCAGCAGGAACUGGCCAACGCUAGGAGCAUUGCUUGGAACGUGAAAGGAGGGCACUGCUAUAAAUUAAGCUUUAAGCAGCCAAAAGUCUACGUCUUACCAUGUCCGCCUGCUAGCCAGCCCCACUUAUGUGAUCUGUACAGCAAGACCACAGGCACUCAAUGGGAAGGCCGAAAAUUCGACCUUGAACUGAGUGCACAUGUGAUAGGUGCUGUGCAUGGUCUUGUUCACAGAGAAAGACUAUAUUCAUUGUCCGCAAAACUGUAUCUUUCUGAGGAAUUCACUCCCUUUUUCCCAUCCCACAGCUGCGAGUGUCUCCCGAGCUACCCCGGCAUCCCCCUCCCAGAGGCUGGGGCAGAUCAGGCGACGAAAAAGAAGGACACGGGACGAGAUGUUCUCAGAACUUACGGGCUGCUCCCGAGCCGAGGCGGCUCAGCAGACCCAGUGGAGGGAGAACGUGUCGCAAUACCAGCGAGCACACAGCGAACGGGAGGAGAGGUGGCGGCAGAAAGACCAGCAGGCGACACAAACGCUGCUUGGACUAAUGAGGGAGCAAACGGACACGCUCCGGCGCCUUGUAGAUGUUCUGCAGGUGUGCGGAUGGCCUCCGGGUGCCCCCUAGGGCGCCGCUCCACCCGCCCCGGGACCACUGCUGCUUGG
RNAcentral lists this long non-coding RNA (1011 nucleotides) under Chrysemys picta bellii (western painted turtle). RNAcentral's name for it is "lncRNA (ENSCPBG00000006436.1)". Lineage: Eukaryota; Metazoa; Chordata; Testudines; Emydidae. The record is from RNAcentral.